Molecule: RNA transcript, 1434 nt
Organism: Aegilops tauschii subsp. strangulata
Lineage: Eukaryota; Viridiplantae; Streptophyta; Magnoliopsida; Poales; Poaceae
Gene name: STOREKEEPER protein
Source: RefSeq, a predicted model, not a curated record
CCAGAGCGCCCAACUCGAUAACCUCACGAGCCCACGACGCGCACGCCCGUCGCACCAGCCCCCGCACGCCGCACGCACCAGCACCCGCACCCACGCCAUCCAAGGCAGCGGCCGGCCCCGAGCGCCAUGGAGGCCGACGCGGCGACCCCGUCCCCGCCGGGGUCGAGGAAGCGCUCGUCCCGCCCCAGGCCCCGCCCGGACGACGGCCGCCCGGAGCCCUACCCCAGCCCCCGCGGCUCCCCCUCCCGCAGGAGCGAGCGCACGCGCCGGCCCCGCGCGCCCGCGGACUCCGACGCGGUGACCGCGCCCGCCGAGCGCAGGGCCCGCGCGCCCUCUCGCCCGCCCUCCGCAGGCCCGUCCGCGCCUUCCAGGAGGCCGCCGCGCUGGCCGCGCUCGCGGCCAGCGCGCCCGCCGCGGCCUCCUCCUCCGGCGCCAGAUCCUACGGCGUGGUCUGGAGCGACGCCGACGAGGUCGCCCUCCUCAACGCGGCCGCCGCCUUCCGCGUGCGCCACGGCCGCGUCCCGGGCCUCCCGGACAUGGGCGCGCUCUUCGACGCCAUCAGGGGCUCCAUCGCCCCGCACAUCGACCAGCCCAAGGUGUACUACAAGCUGAAGCGGCUCAAGAGCAAGUUCGACCACGCGGUGCCGUCCGCGGUCGUCAGCCGGCACGAGCAGCGCCUGCGCGACCUCUGCAAGAAGGUCUGGGGCGCCAACUUCGGCCUGCCUGCCGAGAAGGAUGCCGCGCCGGAGGAAGACGAGGAAGACGAGGAGGAGGAGCGCGGGCGCGGCAACGUCCCGGACGCGGCAGCCAUGCUCCCGGUGGCCACCGAGGUGCUCGAUGCGUACUGGAAGACGGAUGGCCCGGCGCUGUCCGGGGUGUCCCUGGAGAAGGGGCUGUCAAAGCUAGCAACGGAAGACGCGAGAUGGAUCGAAGCCAAGUGGCGGCGGCAGCUGGAUGCAGAAGUGCACUCGCAGAUUAAGCGGCACGAUCUGGCCAAGGAGGUCUACGGCCUGCUCCUUGACGCCAUUAAGGGCCUCGGCCCCUAGCUCUGGUGCAAGUUGAUGAGGUGCGCCGAGCCAGCCAUGCCGUUCCUAUAGGCUGAUCGAGUAGAUCUGCAUUCAGUUGCUCAGUUACAAGACCUUAUUAUCGAGUAAUGAUCAGCGCCGGCAUGCUGUAGCUGUACAAUCUGCAUGUCUCUGUCUGCUGCGUCUAGUGACUGUCACUUUGCUUUAGGUUCAUAUAGGUGUUAGUUUUGCUCUUCCUUAGAUUUAGACCAUGAAAAUGAUUCAGAUGCUCAGCCGAUUUGUAAACUGUUUUGUAACGUCUGUGUCCGUGGUGUUAGGCCUGCAUUCUUCAACUGUAAGAAUCCAGCAUCUUUGGUUUUCAUUGCUUGAUGGUGUGGUGAAAAUAAUUUGCUCAACGUGUGUUGCUGAA